UCAAGUUAUUAAGGGUGCAGGGCGGAUGCCUUGGCACUAGGAGCCGAUGAAGGACGUGAUAAGCUGCGAUAAGCUUCGGGGAGUUGCACGUAAACUUUGAUCCGAAGAUUUCCGAAUGAGGAAACUCACUUAGAGUAAUGUCUAAGUAUCAUUAAGUGAAUACAUAGCUUAAUGAGGGGAACUCAGGGAACUGAAACAUCUAAGUACCUGAAGGAAGAGAAAGAAAUUCGAUUCCGUAAGUAGCGGCGAGCGAACGCGGAUUAGCCCAAACCAAUAAAGUUUUCUUUAUUGGGGUUGCGGACAUAUCAUAACGAAGAGGUAUCGUAAUUGAAGAGGUUUGGAAAGACCCACCACAGAAGGUAAUAGUCCUGUAUGUUAAACGAGAAGACUUCAGAUAUGAUCCAGAGUACCACGGGACACGUGAAACCCUGUGGGAAGCAGGAGGGACCACCCUCCAAGGCUAAAUACUACCUAGUGACCGAUAGCGUAUAGUACCGUGAGGGAAAGGUGAAAAGAACCCCGGGAGGGGAGUGAAAUAGAACCUGAAACCCUGCACUUACAAGCUGUGGAAGCACAUUUCUUGUGUGACCGCGUACUUUUUGUAGAACGGGCCAACGAGUUACGUUAAGUAGCAAGGUUAAGCACUUAAGGUGCGGAGCCGUAGCGAAAGCGAGUUUUAACUGAGCGUUCAGUUACUUGACGUAGACCCGAAACCGGGCGACCUACCCAUGAGCAGGAUGAAGCGAAAGUAAAAUUUCGUGGAGGUCCGAACCCACGAGCGUUGAAAAGCUCGGGGAUGACUUGUGGGUAGCGGUGAAAUUCCAAUCGAGCCCGGAGAUAGCUGGUUCUCCCCGAAAUAGCUUUAGGGCUAGCCUCAAGGUGAGAGAUACGGAGGUAGAGCACUGAAUGUCCUAGGGGGUAUUGCACCUACCGAAGACUAUCAAACUCCGAAUGCCGUCAUCUUAUACUUGGGAGUCAGACUGUGGGUGAUAAGAUUCAUAGUCGAAAGGGCAACAGCCCAGAUCGUCAGCUAAGGUCCCUAAAUGUAAGUUAAGUGGUAAAGGAUGUGGGAUUGCACAGACAACCAGGAUGUUGGCUUAGAAGCAGCCACUCAUUCAAAGAGUGCGUAAUAGCUCACUGGUCGAGUGAUCCUGCGCCGAAGAUUUCCGGGGCUAAAACUUACUACCGAAGCUACGGCAUCAGUAAUGAUGGGUAGGGGAGCUUCCCAUACGGGUUGAAGCAUGACCGUAAGGACAUGUGGACAGUAUGGGAGUGAGAAUGUUGGCAUGAGUAGCGAGAUGUGGGUGGGAAUCCCACAGGCCGUAAACCCAAGGUUUCCAGGGGAAGGUUCGUCCGCCCUGGGUUAGUCGGGACCUAAGCUGAGGCCGAAAGGCGUAGGUGAUGGACAACAGGUUGAUAUUCCUGUACUACCGAUAACCGUUUGAGAGAAGGGAUGACACAGUAGGAUAAGCUAAGCACACUGUUGGUUAUGUGUGCCCAAGCAUUGAGGCAGUCAAAGUAGGCAAAUCCGCUUUGAUAAUGCUGGGAUGUGAUGGGGAGCGAAAUUUAGUAGCGAAGUAGCUGAUUUCACACUGUCAAGAAAAGUCUCUAUCGAGGUUAAAGGUACCCGUACCGCAAACCGACACAGGUGGGUGAGGAGAGUAUCCUAAGGCCAGCGAGAGAACUGUUGUUAAGGAACUCGGCAAAAUGACCCCGUAACUUAGGGAUAAGGGGUGCCACCAUCAGGUGGCCGCAGAGAAUAGGCCCAAGCGACUGUUUACCAAAAACGUAGGUUUCUGCUAAGUCGCAAGACGAUGUAUAGGAGCUGACGCCUGCCCGGUGCUGGAAGGUUAAGGGGAUCUGUUAGAGUAAUCGAAGCAGUGAACUUAAGCCCCAGUAAACGGCGGCCGUAACUAUAACGGUCCUAAGGUAGCGAAAUUCCUUGUCGGGUAAGUUCCGACCCGCACGAAAGGCGUAACGAUUUGGGCACUGUCUCAACAACAG
This 2004-nucleotide ribosomal RNA is filed under the name Clostridioides difficile. Its description in RNAcentral is "bacterial LSU rRNA". It matches the Rfam family "Bacterial large subunit ribosomal RNA", at positions 3 to 2030 of the family's 2925-position model. Lineage: Bacteria; Bacillati; Bacillota; Clostridia; Peptostreptococcales; Peptostreptococcaceae. The record is from RNAcentral.